RNAcentral lists this ribosomal RNA (261 nucleotides) under uncultured Verrucomicrobiota bacterium. Its description in RNAcentral is "uncultured Verrucomicrobia bacterium partial 16S ribosomal RNA". It matches the Rfam family "Bacterial small subunit ribosomal RNA", at positions 154 to 414 of the family's 1533-position model. Lineage: Bacteria; Pseudomonadati; Verrucomicrobiota. The record is from RNAcentral.
AAAGGCGAAUUAAUACCGCAUAUGGCCAGGGAAGACAUCUUCCCGAAGCCAAAGUCGCAAGACGCUUCCUGAUGAGCUCGCGGCCUAUCAGCUAGUUGGUGAGGUAACGGCUCACCAAGGCUAUGACGGGUAGCUGGUCUGAGAGGACGACCAGCCACACUGGAACUGAGACACGGUCCAGACACCUACGGGUGGCAGCAGUCGAGAAUUUUUCACAAUGGGGGAAACCCUGAUGGAGCGACGCCGCGUGGAGGAUGAAGG